This 206-nucleotide ribosomal RNA is filed under the name uncultured Pseudomonas sp. RNAcentral's name for it is "partial 16S ribosomal RNA". It matches the Rfam family "Bacterial small subunit ribosomal RNA", at positions 332 to 533 of the family's 1533-position model. The record is from RNAcentral. Lineage: Bacteria; Pseudomonadati; Pseudomonadota; Gammaproteobacteria; Pseudomonadales; Pseudomonadaceae.
GCCCUUCCUACGGGAGGCAGCAGUGGGGAAUAUUGGACAAUGGGCGAAAGCCUGAUCCAGCCGUGCCGCGUGUGUGAAGAAGGCCUUCGGGUCGUAAAGCACUUUAAGUUGGGAGGAAGGGCUCAUAGCGAAUACCUGUGAGUUUUGACGUUACCAACAGAAUAAGCACCGGCUAACUUCGUGCCAGCAGCCGCGGUAAUAAGGGC